CCGGAGGAAGGUGGGGAUGACGUCAAGUCAUCAUGGCCCUUACGGCCCUGGGCCUACACACGUGCUACAAUGGUCGGUACAAAGGGUUGCCAAGCCGCGAGGUGGAGCUAAUCCCAUAAAACCGAUCGUAGUCCGGAUCGCAGUCUGCAACUCGACUGCGUGAAGUCGGAAUCGCUAGUAAUCGUGAAUCAGAAUGUCACGGUGAAUACGUUCCCGGGCCUU
RNAcentral lists this ribosomal RNA (222 nucleotides) under uncultured Pseudomonas sp. Its description in RNAcentral is "partial 16S ribosomal RNA". It matches the Rfam family "Bacterial small subunit ribosomal RNA", at positions 1163 to 1382 of the family's 1533-position model. The record is from RNAcentral. Lineage: Bacteria; Pseudomonadati; Pseudomonadota; Gammaproteobacteria; Pseudomonadales; Pseudomonadaceae.